UGGAAGAGGAAGGACUCCUUCUGCCUAAUGUGAUGACCAGCCUGAACAGUUCCCUGCAUGGAGUCCAAGAUAUGAGUUCCCAGAUGGCACAGGCGGUCCACAGACCUGCACCAAUCCUGGCGAGGCAGUACCAAGAAAAAGAGGAACCAGGGGUCCAGAGAUGCUGGAGUCAGCUUUUUAAACUUCAUUCCGGUGUGAAGGGGCACAACAGAAGACAAAUAUCUUUAUGACAGCAGCCGCUGAGAUGGCAUGUUCAUCAUUUAGUUUGAAGGCUGGGCUGAACCAGUAGGACAAGCUUGGAUAAAUGCCUGCAUCCCAUAUGGACUGGUUGAGUGUUUGCAUACAUACAUUUAUGCAAAACAAACUGUCAUAGUUAUGAUGCCUCAACCAUAAACACAUAAACAUGUAACUCUAAAUGGUUCUAGAUGCGAGAAACUUUGACCAACACUAUAAGUGAACAGGACCAUGACAGAUAGAUGAGUGUCUGUGUGUGUGCAGAGGCAGGACAGAGCUGCAGAUUAGACGUAAUGAAAUCCAUGCUGAGAAAGCGCUCUCUCUCCCCAGUGUUUUUUAUUAAGUCUUACAUAAGAGAACAUUGUGAA
Carassius carassius (crucian carp) is the source of this 602-nucleotide long non-coding RNA. RefSeq lists it as uncharacterized. The record is from RefSeq and is a predicted model, not a curated record. The transcript has 3 exons. NCBI's taxonomy places the organism in Eukaryota, Metazoa, Chordata, Actinopteri, Cypriniformes, Cyprinidae.